This 28-nucleotide non-coding RNA is filed under the name Cricetulus griseus (Chinese hamster). The record is from RNAcentral. Lineage: Eukaryota; Metazoa; Chordata; Mammalia; Rodentia; Cricetidae.
GGGACAGGUGGUGGCAAGCACUGGUGUC